Non-coding RNA from Parelaphostrongylus tenuis, 71 nucleotides. Lineage: Eukaryota; Metazoa; Nematoda; Chromadorea; Rhabditida; Metastrongylidae. The record is from the annotation of a GenBank genome assembly.
GCAUUUGUGGUACAGUGGUGAAAUGCUCGCCUGCCACGCAAACGAUCCGGGUUCGGUUCCCGGUCAAUGCA